AACAUCCCAGAUUCCUCCCUCUUCAGACCUACACACUGGUCUGAGUGGUUAUCAAAGGAGGAUAUGUGAAAUCAAAAUGGGAUUAACGUCUUUGGUGAGGCACAAGCUAGUUUACAACAAAA
Molecule: small nucleolar RNA, 122 nt
Filed under: Echinops telfairi (small Madagascar hedgehog)
Lineage: Eukaryota; Metazoa; Chordata; Mammalia; Afrosoricida; Tenrecidae
Description: Small nucleolar RNA SNORA61 (ENSETEG00000026752.1)
Source: RNAcentral